UACGGAGGGAGCUAGCGUUGUUCGGAAUUACUGGGCGUAAAGCGCGCGUAGGCGGCUUUGUAAGUUAGAGGUGAAAGCCCGGGGCUCAACUCCGGAACUGCCUUUAAGACUGCAUCGCUUGAAUCCGGGAGAGGUGAGUGGAAUUCCGAGUGUAGAGGUGAAAUUCGUAGAUAUUCGGAAGAACACCAGUGGCGAAGGCAGGUCUCUGGGCUGACACUGACGCUCAUGCACGAAAGCGUGGGGAGCAAACAGG
Molecule: ribosomal RNA, 253 nt
Filed under: uncultured bacterium
Lineage: Bacteria
Description: partial 16S ribosomal RNA
Rfam family: Bacterial small subunit ribosomal RNA
Source: RNAcentral